This 550-nucleotide ribosomal RNA is filed under the name uncultured bacterium. RNAcentral's name for it is "partial 16S ribosomal RNA". It matches the Rfam family "Bacterial small subunit ribosomal RNA", at positions 355 to 895 of the family's 1533-position model. The record is from RNAcentral.
UGGGGAAUUUUGGACAAUGGGCGAAAGCCUGAUCCAGCAAUGCCGCGUGUGUGAAGAAGGCCUUCGGGUUGUAAAGCACUUUUGUCCGGAAAGAAAUGGCUCUGGUUAAUACCUGGGGUCGAUGACGGUACCGGAAGAAUAAGGACCGGCUAACUACGUGCCAGCAGCCGCGGUAAUACGUAGGGUCCAAGCGUUAAUCGGAAUUACUGGGCGUAAAGCGUGCGCAGGCGGUUGUGCAAGACCGAUGUGAAAUCCCCGAGCUUAACUUGGGAAUUGCAUUGGUGACUGCACGGCUAGAGUGUGUCAGAGGGGGGUAGAAUUCCACGUGUAGCAGUGAAAUGCGUAGAGAUGUGGAGGAAUACCGAUGGCGAAGGCAGCCCCCUGGGAUAACACUGACGCUCAUGCACGAAAGCGUGGGGAGCAAACAGGAUUAGAUACCCUGGUAGUCCACGCCCUAAACGAUGUCAACUAGUUGUUGGGGGAUUCAUUUCCUUAGUAACGUAGCUAACGCGUGAAGUUUGGACCGCCUGGGGAGUACGGUCGCAAGAUU